CGUGAAAAGCGAAGCUGUCGUGAGGCAGUGGCGCAAAGCCAAGGGUCUUAAUUUUUUAAGAUAGCCGGUUACCGC
RNAcentral lists this non-coding RNA (75 nucleotides) under human gut metagenome. RNAcentral describes it as "Cyclic di-GMP-I riboswitch". The stretch from base 9 to 74 matches the Rfam family "c-di-GMP-I riboswitch aptamer", at positions 12 to 85 of the family's 87-position model. Rfam says of the family: GEMM was predicted in a large-scale screen for bacterial structured RNA regulatory elements. Genes associated with GEMM are involved in a diverse array of functions, including chemotaxis regulation, signal transduction, secretion and chitin. The record is from RNAcentral.